GAUGAACGCUGGCGGCGUGCCUAAUUCAUGCAAGUCGAGCGAACGGACGAGAAGCUUGCUUCUCUGAUGUUAGCGGCGGACGGGUGAGUAACACGUGGAUAACCUACCUAUAAGACUGGGAUAACUUCGGGAAACCGGAGCUAAUACCGGAUAAUAUUUUGAACCGCAUGGUUCAAAAGUGAAAGACGGUCUUGCUGUCACUUAUAGAUGGAUCCGCGCUGCAUUAGCUAGUUGGUAAGGUAACGGCUUACCAAGGCAACGAUGCAUAGCCGACCUGAGAGGGUGAUCGGCCACACUGGAACUGAGACACGGUCCAGACUCCUACGGGAGGCAGCAGUAGGGAAUCUUCCGCAAUGGGCGAAAGCCUGACGGAGCAACGCCGCGUGAGUGAUGAAGGUCUUCGGAUCGUAAAACUCUGUUAUUAGGGAAGAACAUAUGUGUAAGUAACUGUGCACAUCUUGACGGUACCUAAUCAGAAAGCCACGGCUAACUACGUG
RNAcentral lists this ribosomal RNA (497 nucleotides) under uncultured bacterium. RNAcentral describes it as "partial 16S ribosomal RNA". It matches the Rfam family "Bacterial small subunit ribosomal RNA", at positions 28 to 507 of the family's 1533-position model. The record is from RNAcentral.